CUUGGUCAGGAUGAACGCUGGCGGCGUGCUUAACACAUGCAAGUCGAACGAAGCACCUCUAAUCGAAGAUUGAGAAAGCUUGCUUUGAUUGAUUCACCUUGAGGUGACUGAGUGGCGGACGGGUGAGUAACGCGUGGGUAACCUACCCUAUACAGGGGGAUAACAGUUGGAAACGACUGCUAAUACCGCAUAAGCGCACAGGACCGCAUGGUCUAGUGUGAAAAAACUCCGGUGGUAUAGGAUGGACCCGCGUCUGAUUAGCUAGUUGGUGAGGUAACGGCUCACCAAGGCGACGAUCAGUAGCCGACCUGAGAGGGUGACCGGCCACAUUGGGACUGAGACACGGCCCAAACUCCUACGGGAGGCAGCAGUGGGGAAUAUUGCACAAUGGGCGAAAGCCUGAUGCAGCGACGCCGCGUGAACGAAGAAGUAUUUCGGUAUGUAAAGUUCUAUCAGCAGGGAAGAAAAAUGACGGUACCUGACUAAGAAGCUCCGGCUAAAUACGUGCCAGCAGCCGC
This 518-nucleotide ribosomal RNA is filed under the name uncultured bacterium. Its description in RNAcentral is "bacterial SSU rRNA". It matches the Rfam family "Bacterial small subunit ribosomal RNA", at positions 19 to 518 of the family's 1533-position model. The record is from RNAcentral.